GAGAAAGUCAUAAAGGUUGUAGAAUUGGCCUGAAACCAAUUACUGGGGAUUCGAUUCCUUCCUUUCUCG
Molecule: transfer RNA, 69 nt
Filed under: Loxodonta africana (African savanna elephant)
Lineage: Eukaryota; Metazoa; Chordata; Mammalia; Proboscidea; Elephantidae
Rfam family: tRNA
About the family: Transfer RNA (tRNA) molecules are approximately 80 nucleotides in length. Their secondary structure includes four short double-helical elements and three loops (D, anti-codon, and T loops). Further hydrogen bonds mediate the characteristic L-shaped molecular structure. tRNAs have two regions of fundamental functional importance: the anti-codon, which is responsible for specific mRNA codon recognition, and the 3' end, to which the tRNAs corresponding amino acid is attached (by aminoacyl-tRNA synthetases). tRNAs cope with the degeneracy of the genetic code in two manners: having more than one tRNA (with a specific anti-codon) for a particular amino acid; and 'wobble' base-pairing, i.e. permitting non-standard base-pairing at the 3rd anti-codon position.
Source: Rfam by way of RNAcentral